This 1397-nucleotide long non-coding RNA is filed under the name Calidris pugnax (ruff). RNAcentral describes it as "lncRNA (ENSCPUG00000004873.1)". The record is from RNAcentral. Lineage: Eukaryota; Metazoa; Chordata; Aves; Charadriiformes; Scolopacidae.
GGCUGAACUGAGAUGAUACUGAGGUGUUCAGGUGAGACCAUACUUCACAGCAGGAUCCACUGUUGUCUACAAUGAAGUCCUGACAAUCUGAUAUGCAGAAGAUGCCAAAAAAAGUCACGAGCAUCUUUCUGCACUCAUGUUUCAGCCUAGCAUUUCCUUCCUGAUGCAUCUCAAUUGGAAGAAGGCUCUCACAUUUCCAUCUCUCUUCUCCAGGGCAGACACACAUGACCAUUUCCAGUGGGCAGCUAAGAGCUUGUUCACCACAAUUCAUUGUGACUUCUCAGGUGCUGCUGUUCAUCUCCCUGGAUGAAGACAGCCACUCCUGGUGCCUAAAUCUCUCCUCAAGAAGACAGAGAAGCCACCAUCAGAGUCCUGCUCCACCCACUUUACUGGCCAUCAUGCCUGCUCUGCAAUGGCUCCACCUGCAAAAAACCCUCAUGGAGAGAUUUGGAGCUGGGUGGAAGAGGACCCAUGGGGAAACUGAUCUCAGCUGUGGGUCGUUCCAAGGCACAAAGAGCAGAAGAGGCUGCUUGUUGAGAGCCCCUCACAUCCCAUGGGCAAAGAGGAGCUCAGGACACUCAGCCACCCCACAGCCACCAGAAGGAGCCAGGAGAGGCAGGAAGAAAAGCCCCAGAGGAUGCGCAGGGCUCAGCAGAGGACCGCCAAGAGACUUGGUGUCUCCUCUGUGUGGGGAAGCGCCUGCGGCCACCCGUGGGUUGUUCCCAGGCGCAGCAACGCCCAGAGCGGACACCUCUUGUGGCGCUGCCUCAGCUGCUGCGAAAGCAGAGCCUGCCAGCUCCGGCCAGCCAGGGAUGGGGAAGGGGCCGUCGGGUGCGGGCAGUUGGGCGCCCAUGGCCCAUCUCCCCACCGUCGCCUUGCUGCUGUUGGGUACCAGUGUGACCACCCAGGACAUCUGCAGCUCCCCAGGGGAUGGUGACCUCCCAGCUCCCCACCUGAGCCUCAAUUUAUCACAUGCUCAUCCUGGUGACACAGUUCUGUUUGGGUGCUUCCUACUGCUGGGGUCCCCUGCCACCCGAAUUGUCUUCUGCAAGGAUGGGAUGGAGGAGCGCAGUCUGAAAGCCCAGCAGGGGCAGCUGAGCUACUUCAUGCUGAAGAAGGUCACCCUGGAAAGUGCAGGGACCUACACAUGUGGGUACCAGUACAGGAAUGAGAGCAACUGGGUGAGGAGCUCUGCCCUCAGUGCUCCCCAGCACCUGGCUGUCACAGGUGAGACACAUCCCAGUGGUGGGAACAGAAGGGACAGGGAAUUGCCACCACGUGGUUUUGCUAAUAACGUGGGUCUGCCAUUAACGGAGCUCUGCUCUGGGACAAGGAGGGCAUGGUGCUGGUGUCCUUCUCCUGUGUGAGUGUGUUGCUGCCACUGAUGGAUGUUCUAG